GCACCCGUAGCUCAAUUGGAUAGAGUACCUGACUACGAAUCAGGCGGUUGGAGGUUCGAAUCCCCCCGGGUGUA
RNAcentral lists this transfer RNA (74 nucleotides) under Gracilimonas mengyeensis. It matches the Rfam family "tRNA". Rfam says of the family: Transfer RNA (tRNA) molecules are approximately 80 nucleotides in length. RNAcentral also lists the same sequence under 6 other names. Lineage: Bacteria; Pseudomonadati; Balneolota; Balneolia; Balneolales; Balneolaceae. The record is from Rfam by way of RNAcentral.